CCUACGGGUGGCAGCAGUGGGGGAUAUUGCACAAUGGGGGGAACCCUGAUGCAGCGACGCCGCGUGGGUGAAGAAGCGCCUCGGCGCGUAAAGCCCUGUCAGCAGGGAAGAAAAUGACGGUAACUAAAGGAGAAGCCCUGGAUAACUACGGGCCAGCAGCCGCGGUAAUACGUAGGGGGCAAGCGUGAUACGGAUUUACUGGGUGUAGAGGGAGCGCAGACGGCGCUGCAAGCCAGGAGUGAAAGCACGGGGCCCAACCCCGGGACUGCGCGUGAAACUGCGUGGCUGGAGUGCAGGAGGGGCAGGCGGAAUUCCUGGUGUAGCGGUGAAAUGCGUAGAUAUCAGGAGGAACACCAGUGGCGAAGGCGGCCUGCUGGACUGCAACUGACGUUGAGGCCCGAAAGCGUGGGGAGCAAACAGGAUUAGAUACCCCAGUAGUC
This 440-nucleotide ribosomal RNA is filed under the name uncultured bacterium. Its description in RNAcentral is "partial 16S ribosomal RNA". It matches the Rfam family "Bacterial small subunit ribosomal RNA", at positions 338 to 795 of the family's 1533-position model. The record is from RNAcentral.